GAACACAAAAUGGCGACACGUGGUUAGCAUUCGUCGCCAACGAGAAAUUGGGGUCGGCCCGAAAGCUCUAGAAUGCACCCCUCUUCCUCCCCGGGGCCUUCCACCUCCGCGAGUUUUAUGACUUAAAAAAGCCCACAGGCUGGUCUGAAGAGGAAGACAAACAUAAAGAUGAAGUGCUUAAUUCAAGGUCACACAAUGUCGGGGAUGGACCUCCAGAUUUCCUUACUGACCUGCAUUAUCUUGUGGAUACCUGAGUGAAUUCCACACCACCCAUUUUAUAGAUGAAACCACUGAGACAUGGAGCAAUUGACUGAGUAGUCACUGCCCCACCCCUGCCUGGAGCCUCACACAUGACUCGCCUCCUCUCAGUGACCACAGUACUUAUCCUGUAUUACAUGAAGGAAAUGAAAUAAAAAGACUGCAGCCCCACUCCCAGCUACUCAGUGAGGUGGUAGCUAGGUGGAGUCUCACUCUGUAGCCCAAGCUGGAGUGGCGUGAUCUCGACUCACUGCAACCUCCGCCUCCUGGGAUCAAGUGAUUCUCGUGCCUCAGCCUCCUGAGUAGCCGGGACUACAGGUCACAGAAUUUUCCACACUCCUUGACAGAGGUGCUUAACCCUUAUCCAUCAGCAUUCUCAGACAGCACCUCCGGUUAGGGACAGUAUCUGACCGUCCGACAUCCCUGCAGCCCCCAUGUGUCACA
Long non-coding RNA from Homo sapiens (human), 702 nucleotides. Ensembl annotates it as PCBP1 antisense RNA 1. Its record names the gene PCBP1-AS1. Lineage: Eukaryota; Metazoa; Chordata; Mammalia; Primates; Hominidae. The record is from Ensembl.